AGGACGAACGCUGGCGGCGUGCCUAACACAUGCAAGUCGAACGAGGUCCAACCGGUGGCAACACUGGUGAAGACCUAGUGGCGAACGGGUGAGUAUCACGUGAGCAACCUGCCCCGAAGACUGGGAUAACACCGGGAAACCGGUGCUAAUACCGGAUACCCCCACCGGAUCGCAUGGUCUGGUGAGGAAAUGAAUUUUGCUUUGGGAGGGACUCGCGGCCUAUCAGCUUGUUGGUGGUGUAACGGACCACCAAGGCUUCGACGGGUAGCUGGUCUGAGAGGACGAUCAGCCACACUGGGACUGAGACACGGCCCAGACUCCUACGGGAGGCAGCAGUGGGGAAUCUUGCGCAAUGGGCGAAAGCCUGACGCAGCAACGCCGCGUGAGGGACGAAGGCCUUCUGGGUUGUAAACCUCUUUCAGCAGGGACGAUGAUGACGGUACCUGCAGAAGAAGCCCGGCCAACUACGCGCCAGCAGCCGCGGU
This 485-nucleotide ribosomal RNA is filed under the name uncultured bacterium. RNAcentral's name for it is "SSU rRNA". It matches the Rfam family "Bacterial small subunit ribosomal RNA", at positions 26 to 521 of the family's 1533-position model. The record is from RNAcentral.